GCCUACGGGGGGCAGCAGUAGGGAAUCUUCCACAAUGGGCGAAAGCCUGAUGGAGCAACGCCGCGUGGGUGAAGAAGGUCUUCGGAUCGUAAAACCCUGUUGUUAGAGAAGAAAGUGCGUGAGAGUAACUGUUCACGUUUCGACGGUAUCUAACCAGAAAGCCGCGGCUAACUACGUGCCAGCAGCCGCGGUAAUACGUAGGUGGCAAGCGUUAUCCGGAUUUAUUGGGCGUAAAGGGAACGCAGGCGGUCUUUUAAGUCUUAUGUGGAAGCCUUCGGCUUAACCGGAGUAGUGCAUUGGAAACU
This 305-nucleotide ribosomal RNA is filed under the name uncultured bacterium. RNAcentral's name for it is "bacterial SSU rRNA". It matches the Rfam family "Bacterial small subunit ribosomal RNA", at positions 337 to 634 of the family's 1533-position model. The record is from RNAcentral.